AAAUUGAAGAGUUUGAUCAUGGCUCAGAUUGAACGCUGGCGGCAGGCCUAACACAUGCAAGUCGAACGGUAACAGGAAGAAGCUUGCUUCUUUGCUGACGAGUGGCGGACGGGUGAGUAAUGUCUGGGAAACUGCCUGAUGGAGGGGGAUAACUACUGGAAACGGUAGCUAAUACCGCAUAACGUCGCAAGACCAAAGAGGGGGACCUUCGGGCCUCUUGCCAUCGGAUGUGCCCAGAUGGGAUUAGCUAGUAGGUGGGGUAACGGCUCACCUAGGC
RNAcentral lists this ribosomal RNA (277 nucleotides) under Escherichia coli. RNAcentral's name for it is "partial 16S ribosomal RNA". It matches the Rfam family "Bacterial small subunit ribosomal RNA", at positions 1 to 274 of the family's 1533-position model. Lineage: Bacteria; Pseudomonadati; Pseudomonadota; Gammaproteobacteria; Enterobacterales; Enterobacteriaceae. The record is from RNAcentral.